CGGCGUGCCUAAUACAUGCAAGUCGAGCGAGCUGAAUCAAAGAUCCCUUCGGGGUGAUUUGUUGGAUGCUAGCGGCGGAUGGGUGAGUAACACGUGGGCAAUCUGCCCUAAAGACUGGGAUACCACUUGGAAACAGGUGCUAAUACCGGGUAACAACAUGAAUCGCAUGAUUCAAGUUUGAAAGGCGGCGUAAGCUGUCACUUUAGGAUGAGCCCGCGGCGCAUUAGCUAGUUGGUGGGGUAAAGGCCUACCAAGGCAAUGAUGCGUAGCCGAGUUGAGAGACUGAUCGGCCACAUUGGGACUGAGACACGGCCCAAACUCCUACGGGAGGCAGCAGUAGGGAAUCUUCCACAAUGGACGCAAGUCUGAUGGAGCAACGCCGCGUGAGUGAAGAAGGUUUUCGGAUCGUAAAGCUCUGUUGUUGGUGAAGAAGGAUAGAGGCAGUAACUGGUCUUUAUUUGACGGUAAUCAACUAGAAAGUCACGGCUAACUACGUGCCAGCAGCCGCGGUAAUACGUAGGUGGCAAGCGUUGUCCGGAUUUAUUGGGCGUAAAGCGAGCGCAGGCGGAAUGAUAAGUCUGAUGUGAAAGCCCACGGCUCAACCGUGGAACUGCAUCGGAAACUGUCAUUCUUGAGUGCAGAAGAGGAGAGUGGAAUUCCAUGUGUAGCGGUGGAAUGCGUAGAUAUAUGGAAGAACACCAGUGGCGAAGGCGGCUCUCUGGUCUGCAACUGACGCUGAGGCUCGAAAGCAUGGGUAGCGAACAGGAUUAGAUACCCUGGUAGUCCAUGCCGUAAACGAUGAGCGCUAGGUGUUGGGGACUUUCCGGUCCUCAGUGCCGCAGCAAACGCAUUAAGCGCUCCGCCUG
This 866-nucleotide ribosomal RNA is filed under the name uncultured Lactobacillus sp. Its description in RNAcentral is "bacterial SSU rRNA". It matches the Rfam family "Bacterial small subunit ribosomal RNA", at positions 40 to 875 of the family's 1533-position model. The record is from RNAcentral. Lineage: Bacteria; Bacillati; Bacillota; Bacilli; Lactobacillales; Lactobacillaceae.